CGACCAGGUUCAAGUGAAUGAGCAGCUGACAUACGCAACGUCGAUCAGUCAAAAAGUCAAAAUACAGUGUUCUGAUUGGUCUAGACGCUUAUUUCUAUGAAAAUAAGCGUUUUGUUUCGAUUUUGACUGAUCUGUGGGGAGUUCUGACCGAUUUACAAAAGUCAGGGGCGCACCAUUAGUCGGAAUAUCAUUAAUAUUUGACGCGUGCUAAGGUCUUUCCGAGCGCCCGCUCAUUCAAAGUGUCAUGUUGGAGUUUUGUGGAGAUAUUCAAUUAUUUCAAGAUUUCUACGGAAAAUUCGGAAAUGUCUGCUACUCCUUGUAGUAUUUAUGAAACGGUUCAAUCCGCAUUUGCGGUGAAUGAUUUAGCUGUCUUACAAGUUUGUUUGGCUGAUCUUGCCAGGAAAAUCGACGCUAUAUCGGAGAGUUCGAUUGAGCAGUCGCUAGGCGCCAUGAGCAGUAAACUACAGUUUGAGUAGAAGUAUUGGCGCCGAGAUCUUUAUUCUGAAGAGCGCACAAUACAAUACAAUAAGGUAUAUUUAAUGUGAUAUGUCACUCAUUUUAUUUCGUUUUAGGCAGUAUAACAAUAUUCAUAAGCGAACCGUGGCAAGAUGCGCGCAGGGACGUCGC
Molecule: non-coding RNA, 627 nt
Organism: Paramuricea clavata
Lineage: Eukaryota; Metazoa; Cnidaria; Anthozoa; Malacalcyonacea; Plexauridae
Source: the annotation of a GenBank genome assembly